Long non-coding RNA from Panicum hallii, 1909 nucleotides. RefSeq lists it as uncharacterized. Lineage: Eukaryota; Viridiplantae; Streptophyta; Magnoliopsida; Poales; Poaceae. The transcript has 2 exons. The record is from RefSeq and is a predicted model, not a curated record.
AGCCCUCCCCUCCUCAACCCUCUCACCCGGCCGCGCGUGGUGCCCUCAAGCGCGCGCGAGGCGAGGCGCGCGGACGGGCCCGGCGACGGCGAGCGGCUAGCGGCAGUGCGGAGGGGCCCAGCGACGGCGAGCGGCUAGCGGCGGUGUGGAGGGGCCCGGCGACGGCGAGCGGCUAGCGGCGGCGCGGAUCCGGCACCGGCGGCGCGGGCGACUGCGCGAGGCGGCAGCGCGGAGGGCAGAUCCGGCGACGGCGAGCGGCGCCCGAGGCCGAGGCCGAGGCGGCGGCGCGGAUCCGGCGCGGGCAACGGCGCGAGCAGAUAGAAGAAAUGAAGCCAUCACGGAAGAAGACACAGAAGGGUAGUGACGAUAAUGACAGCAGAAGCAGCAGCGGGAUAAGGGAUAAGGUUCAGGAACUUGGCUAGAAUAUGGCUGGAUGGAGCCUAAGGUGGGGAUGUUGAACCGAGCUUCCAAGAGGGAAUCUUAUCCAUAUUCUUAUGGUGUCGAGCAAACGGAUUUGUUAUGGAUGUACCGAGUAUCUUUGGGUCAGGUGUGGAGGUUGUCACAACACCACCUAGUGGUAUUUUCCAUUUAAAGCUCGAGCACAGUGAAAGAUGCCUGCAAUGGUGAUCAAUGGGGAAAAUUUGUACGUGAGGGGGUGGAGGAGCCUAAAUAGAUCUUUUGAAAUCAAAGAGAAAAGCACCACGGCGCCCAAAGAGCAGGAAGAAGUCUGACAAACCGAUGAGGAACUACAUGCUCGGGUAAGAUGUGAAGCCUGUAUACUGUGGGUUUAACUACGGGGAUCUGGCCCCAAAUGAAAAGCUCUGUGAUACCAUGAUGGGUAUUUAUAAGUUCAGCAGAGCUUUGUAUGCUUUGUUUGAAUACAAUGGGGAAACCCGGGAAGCAAUAUCAGGGAAGCUGUAGGAAAGAUUGCAGUAUUCAUAAACGAGGUCACCUGGUUCCUCUUUAUUGAGGACACAACAUGCAUUUCAUUCAGUAUCACUGAUAGCAGUGUGAGUAGACUGAGUCAAGCACAGUAAUCGUUAAGUGGUUUUGCAAUGUUCAGUGGUUGCAAAGGUGGUUGCAAUCGUUCCAACCACUGAACAUCAUGCUAUGCUUGAUUCAGUCUACUCACACUGUUAUCACUGAUACUGAAUGAAAUGCAUGUUGUGUACUCAAUGAAGAGGAAUCGGGUGGCCUCGCUUAUGAAUACUGCAAUCUUUCCUACAUCUUCUCUGAUAUUGCUUCCCGGGCUUCCCCCUUAUCGUACUCAAACAAAGCAUCCAAAACUCUUCUGAACUCAUAAAUACCCAUCAUGAUAUCACAGAGCUUUCCAUUUGAAGCCAAAUCCCCGUAGUUAAACCCACAGUAUACAGGCCUCACAUCUUACCCGAGCAUGUAGUUCCUCAUCGGUUUCUCAGACUUCUUCCUGCUCUUUGGGCGCCGUGGUGCUUUUCUCUUUGAUUUCAAAAGAUCUAUUUAGGCUCCUCCACCCCCUCACGUACAAAUUUUUCCCAUUGAUCACCACUGCAGGCAUCUUUCACUGUACUCGAGCUCUAAAUAGAAAGUACCACUAGGUGGUGUUGUGACAACCUCGACACCUGGCCCAAAGAUACUCGAUACAUCCAUGACAAAUUCGUUUGCUCGACACCAUGAGAAUAUGGAUAAGAUUUCCUCUUGGAAGCUCGAUACAAUAUUUCCACCGUGGGCUCCAUCCAGGCAUAUUCUAGCCGAGUUCCUGGGCCUUGUCCCGCUGCUGCUUCUGCCGUCAUCAUCAUCACCAGGGUGCGGGUUUGGAAAACCCUCUGUCCACCAAGGUGGACAGUCUGUCAGAUGACUUCCUGACGGGCUGGUUCCCCGGAGAGGCAAAUCUCCUCGUAGUGCACUACAAUGGCCUUUUAGCCGUUGAGCA